This 253-nucleotide ribosomal RNA is filed under the name uncultured bacterium. RNAcentral describes it as "partial 16S ribosomal RNA". It matches the Rfam family "Bacterial small subunit ribosomal RNA", at positions 524 to 776 of the family's 1533-position model. The record is from RNAcentral.
UACAGAGGGGGCCAGCGUUAUUCGGAAUUAUUGGGCGUAAAGGGCGCGUAGGCGGCUCUGCGUGUCUUUCGUGAAAUCCCUCGGCUCAACUGAGGACGUGCGGAAGAAACUGCAGGGCUGGAGUCCGGGAGAGGAGGGUGGAAUUCCCAGUGUAGCGGUGAAAUGCUUAGAGAUUACAUGGAAUACCAAUUGCGAAGGCAGGUUACUAACAAUAUAUUGACGCUGAUGGACGAAAGCGUGGGUAGCGAACAGG